RNAcentral lists this ribosomal RNA (496 nucleotides) under uncultured bacterium. RNAcentral describes it as "partial 16S ribosomal RNA". It matches the Rfam family "Bacterial small subunit ribosomal RNA", at positions 30 to 523 of the family's 1533-position model. The record is from RNAcentral.
AUUGAACGCUGGCGGCAGGCUUAACACACGCAAGUCGAACGAUGAUUAUCUAGCUUGCUAGAUAUGAUUAGUGGCGGACGGGUGAGUAACAUUUAGGAAUCUACCUAGUAGUGGGGGAUAGCUCGGGGAAACUCGAAUUAAUACCGCAUACGACCUACGGGUGAAAGGGGGCGCAAGCUCUUGCUAUUAGAUGAGCCUAAAUCAGAUUAGCUAGUUGGUGGGGUAAAGGCCCACCAAGGCGACGAUCUGUAACUGGUCUGAGAGGAUGAUCAGUCACACCGGAACUGAGACACGGUCCGGACUCCUACGGGAGGCAGCAGUGGGGAAUAUUGGACAAUGGGGGCAACCCUGAUCCAGCCAUGCCGCGUGUGUGAAGAAGGCCUUUUGGUUGUAAAGCACUUUAAGCAGGGAGGAGAGGCUAAUGGUUAAUACCCAUUAGAUUAGACGUUACCUGCAGAAUAAGCACCGGCUAACUCUGUGCCAGCCGCCGCAGUAA